Molecule: ribosomal RNA, 253 nt
Filed under: uncultured bacterium
Lineage: Bacteria
Description: partial 16S ribosomal RNA
Rfam family: Bacterial small subunit ribosomal RNA
Source: RNAcentral
UACAUAGGUCUCAAGCGUUGUUCGGAUUCAUUGGGCGUAAAGGGUGCGUAGGCGGCGCGGUAAGUCGGGUGUGAAAUCUUGGAGCUUAACUCCGAAACUGCAUUCGAUACUGCCGUGCUUGAGGACUGGAGAGGAGACUGGAAUUUACGGUGUAGCGGUGAAAUGCGUAGAUAUCGUAAGGAAGACCAGUGGCGAAGGCGGGUCUCUGGACAGUUCCUGACGCUGAGGCACGAAGGUCAGGGGAGCAAACGGG